This 550-nucleotide ribosomal RNA is filed under the name uncultured bacterium. Its description in RNAcentral is "bacterial SSU rRNA". It matches the Rfam family "Bacterial small subunit ribosomal RNA", at positions 355 to 896 of the family's 1533-position model. The record is from RNAcentral.
UAGGGAAUCUUCCACAAUGGGCGAAAGCCUGAUGGAGCAACGCCGCGUGUGUGAUGAAGGCUUUAGGGUCGUAAAGCACUGUUGUAUGGGAAGAAAUGCUAGAAUAGGGAAUGAUUCUAGUUCGACGGUACCAUACCAGAAAGGGACGGCUAAAUACGUGCCAGCAGCCGCGGUAAUACGUAUGUCCCGAGCGUUAUCCGGAUUUAUUGGGCGUAAAGCGAGCGCAGACGGUUGAUUAAGUCUGAUGUGAAAGCCCGGAGCUCAACUCCGGAAUGGCAUUGGAAACUGGUUAACUUGAGUGUUGUAGAGGUAAGUGGAACUCCAUAUGUAGCGGUGGAAUGCGUAGAUAUAUGGAAGAACACCAGUGGCGAAGGCGGCUUACUGGACAACAACUGACGUUGAGGCUCGAAAGUGUGGGUAGCAAACAGGAUUAGAUACCCUGGUCGUCCACACCGUAAACGAUGAAUACUAGGUGUUAGGAGGUUUCCGCCUCUUAGUGCCGAAGCUAACGCAUUAAGUAUUCCGCCUGGGGAGUACGACCGCAAGGUUG